This 305-nucleotide ribosomal RNA is filed under the name uncultured bacterium. Its description in RNAcentral is "bacterial SSU rRNA". It matches the Rfam family "Bacterial small subunit ribosomal RNA", at positions 338 to 659 of the family's 1533-position model. The record is from RNAcentral.
CCUACGGGGGGCAGCAGUCGGGAAUAUUGCGCAAUGGAGGAAACUCUGACGCAGUGACGCCGCGUGCAGGAAGAAGGUUUUCGGAUUGUAAACUGCUUUAGACAGGGAAGAAAAAAGACAGUACCUGUAGAAUAAGCUCCGGCUAACUACGUGCCAGCAGCCGCGGUAAUACGUAGGGAGCGAGCGUUAUCCGGAUUUAUUGGGUGUAAAGGGUGCGUAGACGGGUAAUUAAGUUAGUUGUGAAAUCCCAUGGCUCAACUGUGGAACUGCAACUAAAACUAAAUAUCUUGAGUACUGGAGAGGAA